This 449-nucleotide ribosomal RNA is filed under the name uncultured bacterium. Its description in RNAcentral is "partial 16S ribosomal RNA". It matches the Rfam family "Bacterial small subunit ribosomal RNA", at positions 329 to 793 of the family's 1533-position model. The record is from RNAcentral.
UUCCAGACUCCUACGGGAGGCAGCAGUGGGGAAUAUUGCACAAUGGGGGGAACCCUGAUGCAGCGACGCCGCGUGGGCGAGGAAGUAUUUCGGUAUGUAAAGCCCUAUCGGCAGGGAAGAAGAAAUGACGGUACCUGAAUAAGAAGCACCGGCUAAAUACGUGCCAGCAGCCGCGGUAAUACGUAGGGGGCAAGCGUUAUCCGGAUUUACUGGGUGUAAAGGGAGCGUAGACGGCAGCGCAAGUCUGAAGUGAAAUGCCGGGGCUUAACCCCGGAACUGCUUUGGAAACUGAGCAGCUAGAGUGCAGGAGAGGUAAGGGGAAUUCCUAGUGUAGCGGUGAAAUGCGUAGAUAUUAGGAGGAACACCAGUGGCGAAGGCGGCUUACUGGACUGUAACUGACGUUGAGGCUCGAAAGCGUGGGGAGCAAACAGGAUUAGAUACCCGUGUAC